CAUCUCAAGAUGCUCUUGGUGCAUCAACAGAAGAUCAGAAGUGGACCAUGCUUAUCUUGAUGCUACAGGGAACAAUGGUACAGUUGCCCCAUCCACUGUCAUCUCUGAACAUGCUGAAGGGCUGCCUGAAGCCAGGAACUUUCAGCGUUUAACAGAGGAGCAAGGCCAACUCCUAAGAAAAUGUCGAAGUGUUCAACAUUACUAUGAGACGGGAACUGAAGAUGAUAGACUGUAUUAAUUCAAUCAAAAGCCACAAGUGUUUGAAUUCUCUGAAGUGGAAUUAAAUAAAAAACACAUUACACAGUUGGAUAACGACAGAUUGCACACUGAAACAAUAAUAAGUGUUCAAAGUGCUAGUACAUCUUGUACAUAGUGUCAAGGUGUCCAAGCAUGUCUCUGUAAGCCAAUGGUUCACUGCAUAUGAGGUUAAUUUAUAUCUUACAGUGGAUUGCAGCAAAAGGCCAGAGGAAAAUAUGUUUUGAUACUCAUCCGUAUUUUGAAGAAGAAAAAUGGGGCUGAAUGGCAUGUUUAUUUUUUUAUUUGACGGGCGGGCUGGGAUGAGAAUCUAAAAUAUUUUUUCUCUGGCUUAAGGCUUUAUUCUUAGUAUGUAUCUAUUAUUUCAUCAUGAUGAAGUCAUCGUUACUAUUCUACAUUGUUAAAAAUUAGAUUCAAUCAUUUUUAGAUUUCCGGAGGUUUUGAAGAGCAUAUUUUUAACAGCCAAUGGGAUCAUAAGCACAUUUCGAGUGUUACAUGACCCAGCCUUUUUAUCAAAAGUUGCUCAGAGUUCAUUUUUGCGUGUCAGAGUAAAAGGCCUUGGAAACUUCAAAAUGGCUGAAAAGGCUUGUCCAAGCACUUUAUUUUCGCUUGCACUGUUUAUCAUCUAGGUUAAUAAAUAUAAUUUCAGUUGAUUUGCAGAAAGUUUACCAGGAUAAGAAUUUGUCGAUUGU
This is a long non-coding RNA of Mya arenaria, 947 nucleotides long. RefSeq lists it as uncharacterized. Lineage: Eukaryota; Metazoa; Mollusca; Bivalvia; Myida; Myidae. The transcript has 3 exons. The record is from RefSeq and is a predicted model, not a curated record.